CACGUAGGCGGAUCAUUAAGUCGGGGGUGAAAUCCUGGAGCUCAACUCCAGAACUGCCUUCGAUACUGAAGAUCUCGAGUCCGGGAGAGGUGAGUGGAACUCCGAGUGUAGAGGUGAAAUUCGUAGAUAUUCGGAAGAACACCAGUGGCGAAGGCGGCUCACUGGCCCGGUACUAACGCUGAGGUGCGAAAGCGUGGGAGCAAACA
This 206-nucleotide ribosomal RNA is filed under the name uncultured bacterium. RNAcentral's name for it is "partial 16S ribosomal RNA". It matches the Rfam family "Bacterial small subunit ribosomal RNA", at positions 568 to 774 of the family's 1533-position model. The record is from RNAcentral.